AAUUGAACGCUGGCGGAAUGCUUUACACUUGCAAGUCAAACGGCAGCACGGACUUCGGUCUGGUGGCGAGGGGCAAACGGGUGAUUAAUAUAUCGAAACGUGCCCAGUCGGGGGGAAUAACGUAUUGAAAAUUACCCUAAUACCGCAUACAAUCUAUGGAUGAAAGCGGGGGAUCGCAAAACCUCGCGCGAUUGGAGCGCCCAAUAUCAAAUUAGGUAGUUGGUGAGGUAAAGGCUCACCAAGCCAACGAUCUGUAGCUGGUCUGAAAGGACAACCACCCACACUGGAACUGAAACACGGUCCAAACUCCUACGGGAGGCAGCAGUGGGGAAUUUUGGACAAUGGACGCAAGUCUGAUCCACCCAUUCCGCGUGCAGGACGAAGGCCUUCGGGUUGUAAACUGCUUUUGUACAGAACAAAAAGGUUUCUAUUAAUACUAGGAGCUCAUGACGGUACUGUAAAAAUAAGCACCGGCUAACUACG
This 483-nucleotide ribosomal RNA is filed under the name uncultured bacterium. RNAcentral describes it as "bacterial SSU rRNA". It matches the Rfam family "Bacterial small subunit ribosomal RNA", at positions 30 to 505 of the family's 1533-position model. The record is from RNAcentral.